Molecule: ribosomal RNA, 443 nt
Filed under: uncultured bacterium
Lineage: Bacteria
Description: partial 16S ribosomal RNA
Rfam family: Bacterial small subunit ribosomal RNA
Source: RNAcentral
CCUACGGGUGGCUGCAGUGGGGAAUAUUGGGCAAUGGGCGCAAGCCUGACCCAGCAACGCCGCGUGAAGGAAGAAGGCUUUCGGGUUGUAAACUUCUUUUCUCAGGGACGAAGACAGUGACGGUACCUGAGGAAUAAGCCACGGCUAACUACGGGCCAGCAGCCGCGGUAAUACGUAGGUGGCAAGCGUUAUCCGGAUUUACUGGGUGUAAAGGGCGGGUAGGCGGGGCGGCAAGUCAGAUGUGAAAGCCACGGGCUCAACCUGUGGCCUGCAUUUGAAACUGUAGUUCUUGAGUACUGGAGAGGCGGACGGAAUUCCUAGUGUAGCGGUGAAAUGCGUAGAUAUUAGGAGGAACACCAGUGGCGAAGGCGGUCUGCUGGACAGCAACUGACGCUGAGGCGCGAAAGCGUGGGGAGCAAACAGGAUUAGAUACCCUUGUAGUC